UACGGAGGGUGCGAGCGUUGUCCGGAAUCACUGGGCGUAAAGGGCGCGUAGGCGGUUAGGUAGGUCCGUUGUGAAAACUCGAGGCUCAACCUCGAGACGCCGAUGGAAACCAUCUAACUAGAGUCCGGAAGAGGAGAAUGGAAUUCCUGGUGUAGCGGUGAAAUGCGCAGAUAUCAGGAAGAACACCCGUGGCUAAGGCGGUUCUCUAGUACGGUACUGACGCUGAGACGCGAAAGCGUGGGGAGCGAACAGG
This 253-nucleotide ribosomal RNA is filed under the name uncultured bacterium. RNAcentral's name for it is "partial 16S ribosomal RNA". It matches the Rfam family "Bacterial small subunit ribosomal RNA", at positions 524 to 776 of the family's 1533-position model. The record is from RNAcentral.